CUAAUUGUAAAUUUUUAUUACAGUAGGAACAUUGCUUUAAUUUAACCAUGCGAAAACAAAUGGUUAUACCAAUUAAACAUACAAUGAAUCUAAACAACAUUCUAUUAUUGAAAUCAAGUUUCGUAUAAUCAUAAUAUUAAAUUACACAAAAAAAUAUUGAGGGUUACCACUUGUGUAAAUAAUUCCCAACAAAAGAAAGAAGAAACCACGAACAACCUUGAACUCUAUCCUUUCCCUCAUUUUCUAAAAUUCUUUUUCUAUUUCUCCUAUCUUUUUCCUCUUUUUUAUUCUAAUCUUCUCUAAAUUUUCUCACUUUUUGCUUCUCUCUGUUGCUUCUCAGUUUCUUUCUCCACUAUUUUUUUUCCUCUUGUCCGUAUACUUUUUUUGUUUUUCCAAUAUUCAGUGUUCUCAUGGGUUGCCUCCUGCAUGUGAUUCUGUGUGUGCGCAUGUGUUUUCUAUUUUUUUAUCCGCAUAAUAGCAAUUACUUUGAUUUAUG
This 496-nucleotide long non-coding RNA is filed under the name Capsicum annuum. RNAcentral's name for it is "long non-coding RNA (CANN_LNC002933)". The record is from RNAcentral. Lineage: Eukaryota; Viridiplantae; Streptophyta; Magnoliopsida; Solanales; Solanaceae.